This 447-nucleotide ribosomal RNA is filed under the name uncultured bacterium. RNAcentral describes it as "SSU rRNA". It matches the Rfam family "Bacterial small subunit ribosomal RNA", at positions 26 to 518 of the family's 1533-position model. The record is from RNAcentral.
AGAGCGAACGCUGGCGGCAGGCUUAACACAUGCAAGUCGAGCGGGCGUAGCAAUACGUCAGCGGCAGACGGGUGAGUAACGCGUGGAAACAUACCUUUUGGUUCGGAACAACACAGGGAAACUUGUGCUAAUACCGGAUAAGCCCUUACGGGGAAAGAUUUAUCGCCGAAAGAUUGGCCCGCGUCUGAUUAGCUAGUUGGUGAGGUAAUGGCUCACCAAGGCGACGAUCAGUAGCUGGUCUGAGAGGAUGAUCAGCCACAUUGGGACUGAGACACGGCCCAAACUCCUACGGGAGGCAGCAGUGGGAAUAUUGGACAAUGGGCGCAAGCCUGAUCCAGCCAUGCCGCGUGAGUGAUGAAGGCCCUAGGGUUGUAAAGCUCUUUUGUGCGGGAAGAUAAUGACGGUACCGCAAGAAUAAGCCCCGGCUAACUUCGUGCCAGCAGCCGC